Molecule: ribosomal RNA, 292 nt
Filed under: uncultured bacterium
Lineage: Bacteria
Description: partial 16S ribosomal RNA
Rfam family: Bacterial small subunit ribosomal RNA
Source: RNAcentral
GUGCCAGCAGCCGCGGUAAUACGUAGGGGGCAAGCGUUGUCCGGAAUCAUUGGGCGUAAAGCGCGUGUAGGCGGCCUUGUAAGUCCGUUCUGAAAGCCCGGGGCUCAACCCCGGGAGGCGGAUGGAUACUGCAAGGCUCGAGUACGGAAGAGGCGAGUGGAAUUCCCGGUGUAGCGGUGAAAUGCGCAGAUAUCGGGAGGAACACCAAUGGCGAAGGCAGCUCGCUGGGACGUUACUGACGCUGAGACGCGAAAGCGUGGGGAGCAAACAGGAUUAGAAACCCUGGUAGUCC